Molecule: ribosomal RNA, 451 nt
Filed under: uncultured bacterium
Lineage: Bacteria
Description: partial 16S ribosomal RNA
Rfam family: Bacterial small subunit ribosomal RNA
Source: RNAcentral
GUGGGGAAUCUUCCGCAAUGGGCGCAAGCCUGACGGAGCAACGCCGCGUGAAUGAAGAAGGCCUUCGGGUCGUAAAGUUCUGUCUUUAGAGAAGAAGUCUCUCUAUGUGAAUAAUGUAGAGAGGUGACGGUACCUAAGGAGGAAGCUCCGGCUAACUACGUGCCAGCAGCCGCGGUAAUACGUAGGGAGCAAGCGUUGUCCGGAAUUACUGGGCGUAAAGGGCGCGUAGGCGGAUAAUUAAGUCAGGUGUGAAAACUCUGGGCUCAACCUGGAGAUUGCACUUGAAACUGGUUAUCUUGAGGGCAGGAGAGGAAAGUGGAAUUCCUAGUGUAGCGGUGAAAUGCGUAGAUAUUAGGAGGAACACCAGUGGCGAAGGCGACUUUCUGGACGAAAACUGACGCUGAGGCGCGAAAGCCAGGGGAGCGAACGGGAUUAGAUACCCCGGUAGUCC